RNAcentral lists this ribosomal RNA (460 nucleotides) under uncultured bacterium. Its description in RNAcentral is "partial 16S ribosomal RNA". It matches the Rfam family "Bacterial small subunit ribosomal RNA", at positions 338 to 795 of the family's 1533-position model. The record is from RNAcentral.
CCUACGGGAGGCAGCAGUGAGGAAUAUUGGUCAAUGGCCGUAAGGCUGAACCAGCCAAGUCGCGUGAAGGAAGACGGAUCUAUGGUUUGUAAACUUCUUUUAUAGGGGAAUAAAGGUAUCCACGUGUGGAUAUUUGUAUGUACCUUAUGAAUAAGCAUCGGCUAACUCCGUGCCAGCAGCCGCGGUAAUACGGAGGAUGCGAGCGUUAUCCGGAUUUAUUGGGUUUAAAGGGUGCGUAGGCUGUUUUUUAAGUCAGCGGUGAAAGUUUGGGGCUCAACCAUAAAAGUGCCGUUGAAACUGGGUGACUUGAGUGUGUUUGAGGUAGGCGGAAUGCGUGGUGUAGCGGUGAAAUGCAUAGAUAUCACGCAGAACUCCGAUUGCGAAGGCAGCUUACUAAGCCAUAACUGACACUGAAGCACGAAAGCGUGGGUAGCAAACAGGAUUAGAUACCCGUGUAGUC